UUUUUUUUGUGUUUUUUUUUUUUUUUUUGAGACAGAGUCUCACUCUGUUGUCAAGGCUGGAGUGCAAUGGCGUCAUCUCGGAUCACUGCAACCUCCACCUCCUGGGUUCAAGCAAUUUUCCUGCCUCAGCCUCCCAAGUAGCUGGGAUUAUAGGUGCUCACCACUGCGCCUGGCUAAUUUCUGUGUUUUGUUUUGUUUUGAGACGGAGUCUCGCUCUGUCACCAGGCUAGAGUGUGGUGGCACCAUCUCGGCUCACUGCAACCUCCGACUCCCUGGUUCAAGCUAUUCUCCUGCCUCAGCCUCCCAAGUAGCUGGGACUACAGGCACCUGCCACCACGCCUGGCUAAUUUUUGUAUUUUUAGUAGAGACGGGGUUUCACCAUGUUGGCCAGGAUGGUCUCGAUCUCCUGACCUCAUGAUCCACCCGCCUCGGCCUCCCAAAGUGCUGGGAUUACAGGCAUAAGCCACCAUGCCCAGCCUUUAUUGAGCUCUUUCAAAGUUUCAGGCAGUAGGCUAAGUGCUUUACAUGUGCAUCAUCUCAUUUAAUCCUUACAGCAAUCCAAUGAGGUAGGUACAAUUAUUAUCCCCAUUUUGCAGAGGAGGAAAGAUAAAGAGGAACACAAAAUGAGCCCUGUUCUCAAGGAGCUCACAGUCUAAAGCAGGGAUCCCAAACCCCCGGGCCAUUAACUGGUACCUAACCGGUGACCUGUUAAGAACCCAGCCACACAGCAGGAGGUCAGCUGCAGGUAAGCAAGUAUUACCACCUGAGCUCCGCCUCCUGUCAGGUCAGUGGCCACAUUAGAUUCUCAUAGGAGCACAAACCCUAUUGUGAACUGCGCAUGUGAGGGAUCUAGGUUGCAUGCUCCUUAUUUUUUAUUUAUUUAUUUAUUUAUUUUUUGAGACUGGAGUCUUACUCUGUUGCCCAGGCUGGAGUGCAGUGGUGCGAUCUCAGCUCACUGCAACCUCUGCCUCCUGGUUUCAAGGAAUUCUCCUGCCUCAGCUUCCCGAGUAGCUGGGACUAAAGGCACCCGCCACUAUGCCCGGCUAAUUUUUGUAUUUUUAGUAGAGGCGGAGUUUCACCAUGUUGGCCAGAUUGGUCUCAAACUCCUGACCUCAAAUGAUCCACCCACCUCAGCCUCCCAGAGCGCUGGGAUUACAAGGCGUGAGCCAUUGUGCCGGCCUGUUGUGUGGUCCUUAUGAUAAUCUAACUAAUGUCUGAUGAUAUGAGGUGGAACAGUUUCAUUCCAAAAUUAUCACCCUACCACCACCUUGAUCCAUGGAAAAAUUGUCUUCCAUGAAACCAGUCCCUGGUGCCAAAAAGGUGGAGGACCCCUGGUCUAUAAUAAAAUCUACAGACUGAAAAACAAAUAACGAAACCAGAUGGAGCUAAGAGCUUUGGGAGCACAGAGGUGGGAGUCAUGUGAGCGCAGGAGUGUUGUCAGGGAAAGCACUUCACAAACUUGAUGUGUGAAAUUAACCAGGAAGGAUUAGGAGAAGUGAGCCUGGCUAGAGUGAGCCACUUGCAGAGGUGAAGAGGGAAGAAAGAGCAAAUCAGGUGUAAGUAGAGUACAGGAGUUGGAGGUAAGGCUGGACAAGCAAGUAGGGGCCACGCUGCCAGGUAUCCUGUGCAGACAAGGAACCUAUACACAGAAAGUGAUGCAGCCCUGGGCAGGCCUCAGGCUGCUGAGCAGGUUAUCACUGGAGCCUCAUGCAAAUCACGCUUCCACCUUUUCCACUAACUCUGUAAUUGCAAGCACCAGAAGGCCUCCUGUUGAUCUGGGGUCGCAGCAGUGCCCUCUGAGUGUAUGAGCAGGAGAGGUUUCUCAGCUCCUCCUUCCCUUGGGUGGUGGUGGUGGAUGGGGGAGGGUGGUAUUUGCCAGAGUUGAGUCUGUUCCCAGACCUCAGCCCUGCCCACUUGCUGAUGUAAGAAAUGCAGCCAACCCCUGAAAUGUGGAACCCUUCCAAGUAGCUUGAUCUGGGCUGAGGAUGGGGGAAAGAAGGGUCUGGCCUCCCAGCACAGCAUUGCCCUGCCUGCCUCAUCCUGGAGCAAUGACCACUCUCCACGUUUCCUCCUGCAUUUCCUUGCUCCAAUUCAGGUCUCACCCACCAAAGUGAGUUCUCCCCCAUAUUACCUGCUCCCCAUCCAGGUGAGAUGAAGAGGACCCUGGCCUGGGAAAGGGUUUGAUUUCCUCCUCUGCUACCAGUUUGCUGUGUGAUUUUGGGGAAGUCAUCCCUCUCUCUGGGUCUCAAUUUCCCCAUUGGCGAAAUUAACUUUGAAAAAUCUACAGUCCAAUUUUGGAAUGAAUAACUUCAGUCUUUAUUCACUGGGGGGUGGGGUGGGGUGGGGCAGGGAAUGGCAUGCCCAGCAUGCAACACAAGGCGUGGGUGGUGUGGAUUCACGGUCUUUUUGGAGAAGAGCAGGCAGGAAGCAGGUCAGCUGUGCAGUGUGGCCUGAGAAUGAGCUCAGAGCGGAAGAGGGGAAGAGGAACUGGGCUGUCCAGAAGGCUUCUUUCUGGAAGAGGCAGGACUGGAGCAGGGAUUUGAAGCGUGGGUCAGGUUGGAAAAAAAAGCAAACAUAAGGAAAGAGUGGAGUCCGGAGGUUGUAAGUCUCUGGAUAACUUUUCCAAGCGGGUGGAAUGGGAGUAGGGUGAGGAAAGGGUGCUUUGUCUCAAAACUUGUCCUCUAGUUCCUGACUCUCUGUGUGGAUGAGAGACUCCUCCAGAGGUCGCUGUUCCCCAGGAAUCCAUCACUAGCGUCCGCACCGCGAGGCCAGAGCUCCCACUGUUCCCCUGGCUCUGCUUCUAUGAGGCUUACGCGGCUCUGCAUCUGCCCAGAGGGCACAGAGACCUGACAAUAUUUCCGCCCCCACGAGGGUACUUACGGCCUCGCCAGUCACCCUGUCUGGGACUCAGAAGGGUCAUACGCGAAGGCGAGCGCAUGUGCACGUCUGUGGUACACGUAGGUAGCUAUGGCUCUGCACCCUCCCUCCUGCGCUGCCCCAAUUCAGGGCCCGGAAGGGCAUCCGGUUCCCGAGGUGCCACUGUGCCAGCAGGCAGCGUGUAAUUGGUAGGAGGGAGGCUGCCGCUGGAGUAUUCUUGGCUGUCCCUCAGUGCGAUCCCUGCAUGAACUCCUCCUUUUCCAUGCUACAGUCACAGACACUCAGCCCAGGCGCACGGUCGCACAUCCUUAUUCCCCAUUAAGGUCUCGCUGCUGACCCCAGCAGGUUUGUCCUCCC
Molecule: long non-coding RNA, 3234 nt
Filed under: Macaca mulatta (Rhesus monkey)
Lineage: Eukaryota; Metazoa; Chordata; Mammalia; Primates; Cercopithecidae
Description: lncRNA (ENSMMUG00000060641.1)
Source: RNAcentral